Long non-coding RNA from Cucumis melo (muskmelon), 529 nucleotides. RefSeq lists it as uncharacterized. The record is from RefSeq and is a predicted model, not a curated record. NCBI's taxonomy places the organism in Eukaryota, Viridiplantae, Streptophyta, Magnoliopsida, Cucurbitales, Cucurbitaceae. The transcript is spliced from 3 exons.
UUCUUUCUUAAAUUCUUUCUCUCUUCUUUCUUAAAUUCUUUCUUUCCCUUACCUCCUCACUUAAGUCUCUCUUUGAGUCACUCAUCUUGAUUGUUAAUUACCACGAAUAAGCCGUCGACCUUCCACUGUUGCUUUUAGUGGCUUCCAUCAUUUCUUUUAGUUGGAUUUCAAGUUUUGGAGUCCGAGUUGGUCCAGCGGAAAUUGGGGUGAUCUACAACCCGAACACAUCUCACUAGUAGUAUUGUACGACAGAGUCCAAGACUGCCUACUUGAGUUCAUAUCCGCCACCCACCUGCCUAGUCGUACUACAUAAUAUUUUGUAUGUAUAUUGUUUGGGUCAUGCAUUGUAAAGUUAGUAUUUUGGGAUGGAAAUUUUGUGUUAAAUAGACUUAAUAUAGUGGUUGGCAUGAGACUAAUUGAAUAACGUUGUGCUUGGUAGGUAGCUUUGAGUAAACAAUUUUGAGGGUAUGUAAAUAUUGAAAUAUUCGGACUAGGCUGAGGUAGCGUACAUGUUUUGAAACUGGAUUAG